RNAcentral lists this ribosomal RNA (484 nucleotides) under uncultured bacterium. Its description in RNAcentral is "partial 16S ribosomal RNA". It matches the Rfam family "Bacterial small subunit ribosomal RNA", at positions 29 to 507 of the family's 1533-position model. The record is from RNAcentral.
AUUGAACGCUGGCGGCAUGCUUUACACAUGCAAGUCGAACGGCAGCGCGGGCUUCGGCCUGGCGUCGAGUGGCGAACGGGUGAGUAAUGCAUCGGAACGUGCCCAGUAGUGGGGGAUAGCCCGGCGAAAGCCGGAUUAAUACCGCAUACGACCUGAUGGUGAAAGCGGGGGAUCGAAAGGCCUCGCGCUAUUUGAGCGGCCGAGGUCGGAUUAGCUAGUUGGUGGGGUAAAGGCUUACCAAGGCGACGAUCCGUAGCUGGCCUGAGAGGACGACCAGCCACACUGGAACUGAGACACGGCCCAGACUCCUACGGGAGGCAGCAGUAGGGAAUUUUGGACAAUGGGGGAAACCCUGAUCCAGCCAUGCCGCGUGAGGGAAGAAGGCCUUCGGAUUGUAAACCGCUUUUGUUCGGGAAGAAAUCCUCUGGGCUAAUACCCCGAGGGGAUGACGGUACCGGAAGAAUAAGCACCGGCUAACUACGUG